CGUAGGGCGCAAGCGUUGUCCGGAAGUAUUGGGCGUAAAGAGCUCGUAGGCGGCUUGUCACGUCGGGUGUGAAAGCCCGGGGCUUAACCCCGGGUCUGCAUUCGAUACGGGCUAGCUAGAGUGUGGUAGGGGAGAUCGGAAUUCCUGGUGUAGCGGUGAAAUGCGCAGAUAUCAGGAGGAACACCGGUGGCGAAGGCGGAUCUCUGGGCCAUUACUGACGCUGAGGAGCGAAAGCGUGGGGAGCGAACAGG
RNAcentral lists this ribosomal RNA (251 nucleotides) under uncultured bacterium. RNAcentral's name for it is "partial 16S ribosomal RNA". It matches the Rfam family "Bacterial small subunit ribosomal RNA", at positions 526 to 776 of the family's 1533-position model. The record is from RNAcentral.